Molecule: ribosomal RNA, 389 nt
Filed under: uncultured eukaryote
Lineage: Eukaryota
Description: partial 18S ribosomal RNA
Rfam family: Eukaryotic small subunit ribosomal RNA
Source: RNAcentral
CAGUAGCGUAUACUAAAGUUGUUGCAGUUAAAAAGCUCGUAGUUGGAUUUCUGGCGUGACGUGUCUGACCCGCCACAAUUAUGUGUGUGAGUGUCGGUAUGCGUCUGCCAUCCUUCUGAAGAACGUGUCUACCUUUAAUAGAGGCCGGAUGCGCGAUUCAGAUCUUUUACUUUGAAGAAAUUAGAGUGUUCAAAGCAGGCUUGCGCUGUGAAUACAUUAGCAUGGAAUAAUAAUUUAGGACUACGGUUCUAUUUUGUUGGUUUCUAGAACUGAAGUAAUGAUUGAUAGGGAUAGUUGGGGGUGCUAGUAUUCAGCGGCCAGAGGUGAAAUUCUCGGAUUCGCUGAAGACUAACUUAUGCGAAAGCAUUCACCAAGGAUGUCUUCUUUAA